Molecule: microRNA precursor, 102 nt
Filed under: Oikopleura dioica
Lineage: Eukaryota; Metazoa; Chordata; Appendicularia; Copelata; Oikopleuridae
Description: microRNA odi-mir-1490a precursor (odi-mir-1490a-1)
Rfam family: mir-1490 microRNA precursor family (bases 10-80)
Source: miRBase by way of RNAcentral
GGCUCGUUUACAGUUAGGCAGUGAGUUGAUAGCGCCCUGAAAUGGAAAAAUCAGGGCCUCUCACCCACUACCAUGACUGUACUUGCCCUAUUCGACCCUCUC